Non-coding RNA from Plectropomus leopardus (leopard coralgrouper), 269 nucleotides. The record is from RefSeq and is a predicted model, not a curated record. NCBI's taxonomy places the organism in Eukaryota, Metazoa, Chordata, Actinopteri, Perciformes, Serranidae.
CUGGGUGGUCAAAGUGGUCCCCCAGCCGCCUGAGCCUCCGCCCAAAACAGCCGAAGACCAGAAGGAGAAGAAACCCGCCGCUGCCCCGCCUCCCGCCGUUGCCCCGCCUCCCGCCGCUGCCCCGCCUCCCGCUGCUGCCUCGCCUGCUGCUGUGACCGCACCGCGUGUUCAGGAGAAGAAGGUGACGUUUCAGGAUGAGUGUAAAAAUGAGGCUCCAAAAACGGACAAACCCAAACAGGAGGUCCAGGCAGCAGAGGAGAACGGGUGAG